This 465-nucleotide ribosomal RNA is filed under the name uncultured bacterium. RNAcentral describes it as "partial 16S ribosomal RNA". It matches the Rfam family "Bacterial small subunit ribosomal RNA", at positions 338 to 795 of the family's 1533-position model. The record is from RNAcentral.
CCUACGGGAGGCUGCAGUGGGGAAUAUUGCGCAAUGGGCGAAAGCCUGACGCAGCGACGCCGCGUGAGGGAUGAAGGUCUUCGGAUCGUAAACCUCUGUCAGCAGGGAAGAACGGUCACUGUGCUAAUCAGCAGUGAAUUGACGGUACCUGCAAAGGAAGCACCGGCUAACUCCGUGCCAGCAGCCGCGGUAAUACGGAGGGUGCGAGCGUUAAUCGGAAUUACUGGGCGUAAAGCGCUCGUAGGCGGUAUGUCAAGUCAAGGGUGAAAUCCCCGCGCUCAACGUGGGAACUGCCUUUGAAACUGGCAAACUGGAGUGUGUGAGAGGAGAGUAGAAUUCCAGGUGUAGGAGUGAAAUCCGUAGAGAUCUGGAGGAACAUCAGUGGCGAAGGCGACUAGCUGGAAAAUAACUGACGCUGAGGAGCGAAAGCGUGGGUAGCAAACAGGAUUAGAUACCCUUGUAGUC